Molecule: small nuclear RNA, 126 nt
Filed under: Cavia aperea (Brazilian guinea pig)
Lineage: Eukaryota; Metazoa; Chordata; Mammalia; Rodentia; Caviidae
Description: U4 spliceosomal RNA (ENSCAPG00000003054.1)
Rfam family: U4 spliceosomal RNA
About the family: U4 small nuclear RNA (U4 snRNA) is a component of the major U2-dependent spliceosome.
Source: RNAcentral
ACCACCACGCAGUGGCAGUAUCUGAGCCAUGAGUUUUAUCCGAGGCACUAUUAUUGCUAAUUGAAAACUUUUCCUAAUACUCGGCCACGACGAUUUGAAACGCACCUUUUGAGCUCCGCCCCGGGG